RNAcentral lists this ribosomal RNA (476 nucleotides) under uncultured organism. Its description in RNAcentral is "partial 16S ribosomal RNA". It matches the Rfam family "Bacterial small subunit ribosomal RNA", at positions 331 to 799 of the family's 1533-position model. The record is from RNAcentral.
GUACACUCCUACGGGAGGCAGCAGUAGGGAAUCUUCCACAAUGGGUGCAAACCUGAUGGAGCAAUGCCGCGUGAGUGAAGAAGGUCUUCGGAUCGUAAAGCUCUGUUGUUAGAGAAGAACACGUGCUAGGUAACUACUAGCGCCUUGACGGUAUCUAACCAGAAAGUCACGGCUAACUACGUGCCAGCAGCCGCGGUAAUACGUAGGUGACAAGCGUUGUCCGGAUUUAUUGGGCGUAAAGGGAGCGCAGGCGGUCUGUUUAGUCUAAUGUGAAAGCCCACGGCUUAACCGUGGAACGGCAUUGGAAACUGACAGACUUGAAUGUAGAAGAGGAAAAUGGAAUUCCAAGUGUAGCGGUGGAAUGCGUAGAUAUUUGGAGGAACACCAGUGGCGAAGGCGAUUUUCUGGUCUAACAUUGACGCUGAGGCUCGAAAGCGUGGGGAGCGAACAGGAUUAGAUACCCCAGUAGUCCCAUG